RNAcentral lists this ribosomal RNA (460 nucleotides) under uncultured bacterium. RNAcentral's name for it is "partial 16S ribosomal RNA". It matches the Rfam family "Bacterial small subunit ribosomal RNA", at positions 338 to 795 of the family's 1533-position model. The record is from RNAcentral.
CCUACGGGGGGCAGCAGUGAGGAAUAUUGGUCAAUGGACGAGAGUCUGAACCAGCCAAGUAGCGUGAAGGAUGACUGCCCUAUGGGUUGUAAACUUCUUUUAUAUGGGAAUAAAAUGUCCCACGUGUGGGAUUUUGUAUGUACCAUAUGAAUAAGGAUCGGCUAACUCCGUGCCAGCAGCCGCGGUAAUACGGAGGAUCCGAGCGUUAUCCGGAUUUAUUGGGUUUAAAGGGAGCGUAGGUGGAUUGUUAAGUCAGUUGUGAAAGUUUGCGGCUCAACCGCAAAAUUGCAGUUGAAACUGGCAGGCUUGAGUACAGUAGAGGUGGGCGGAAUGCGUGGUGUAGCGGUGAAAUGCUUAGAUAUCACGAAGAACUCCGAUUGCGAAGGCAGCUCACUGGACUGCAACUGACACUGAGGCUCGAAAGUGUGGGUAUCAAACAGGAUUAGAUACCCCUGUAGUC